RNAcentral lists this transfer RNA (64 nucleotides) under Calcaritermes temnocephalus. RNAcentral's name for it is "tRNA-Asp". Lineage: Eukaryota; Metazoa; Arthropoda; Insecta; Blattodea; Kalotermitidae. The record is from RNAcentral.
GAAGGAUUAGUUAAAAUAACAUUAGUAUGUCAAGCUAAAAUUGUCAACUUACUGACAUCCUUCU